RNAcentral lists this ribosomal RNA (506 nucleotides) under uncultured bacterium. RNAcentral's name for it is "partial 16S ribosomal RNA". It matches the Rfam family "Bacterial small subunit ribosomal RNA", at positions 29 to 523 of the family's 1533-position model. The record is from RNAcentral.
AGCGAACGCUGGCGGUAGGCCUAACACAUGCAAGUCGAACGGCAGCACAGGAGAGCUUGCUCCCUGGGUGGCGAGUGGCGGACGGGUGAGGAAUACAUCGGAAUCUACUUUUUCGUGGGGGAUAACGUAGGGAAACUUACGCUAAUACCGCAUACGACCUACGGGUGAAAGCAGGGGACCUUCGGGCCUUGCGCGAUUGAAUGAGCCGAUGUCGGAUUAGCUAGUUGGCGGGGUAAAGGCCCACCAAGGCGACGAUCCGGAGCUGGUCUGGGAGGAUGAUCAGCCACACUGGAACUGAGACACGGUCCAGACUCCUACGGGAGGCAGCAGUGGGGAAUACUGGACAAUGGGCGCAAGCCUGAUCCAGCCAUACCGCGUGGGUGAAGAAGGCCUUCGGGUUGUAAAGCCCUUUUGUUGGGAAAGAAAUCCAGCUGGCUAAUACCCGGUUGGGAUGACGGUACCCAAAGAAUAAGCACCGGCUAACUUCGUGCCAGCCGCCGCCGUAA